UGGGGAAUAUUGGACAAUGGGCGAAAGCCUGAUCCAGCCAUGCCGCGUGUGUGAAGAAGGUCUUCGGAUUGUAAAGCACUUUAAGUUGGGAGGAAGGGCAGUAAGCGAAUACCUUGCUGUUUUGACGUUACCGACAGAAUAAGCACCGGCUAACUCUGUGCCAGCAGCCGCGGUAAUACAGAGGGUGCAAGCGUUAAUCGGAAUUACUGGGCGUAAAGCGCGCGUAGGUGGUUUGUUAAGUUGAAUGUGAAAGCCCCGGGCUCAACCUGGGAACUACAUCCAAAACUGGCGAGCUAGAGUAGGGCAGAGGGUGGUGGAAUUUCCUGUGUAGCGGUGAAAUGCGUAGAUAUAGGAAGGAACACCAGUGGCGAAGGCGACCACCUGGGCUCAUACUGACACUGAGGUGCGAAAGCGUGGGGAGCAAACAGG
This 429-nucleotide ribosomal RNA is filed under the name Pseudomonadota bacterium. Its description in RNAcentral is "Proteobacteria bacterium partial 16S ribosomal RNA". It matches the Rfam family "Bacterial small subunit ribosomal RNA", at positions 355 to 776 of the family's 1533-position model. Lineage: Bacteria; Pseudomonadati; Pseudomonadota. The record is from RNAcentral.